RNAcentral lists this long non-coding RNA (1425 nucleotides) under Astyanax mexicanus (Mexican tetra). RNAcentral's name for it is "lncRNA (ENSAMXG00005013886.1)". Lineage: Eukaryota; Metazoa; Chordata; Actinopteri; Characiformes; Acestrorhamphidae. The record is from RNAcentral.
UUUUUAGCAUCAUGACAUUCUGUAUCAUUGAUAAAAUUUGAUAAAUUUACAAAUCUGAUAAAAUUCUUGAAUUUUUUUAUAUCUCAUUACGGGUGUGCCAUAUCCCAUCAUAAUAAUCAGUGUUUUUUCAUAUCGCAAAGAGUGUUAUCACGAAAAUACCAUAAAAUAUUGUCAUAUAACAUUAAGGCAAUAUCACCCAUAAAAACAAGUUACUCUUGUUCAGCAGGUUAAUCUUAUACUGCCAGCAUUUAGAUGGAACAUUAAUAAUGAUUAAUUAAGAAAAUAAAUAAUAAAGCUUUUCUUUUUAGAUUUCCAGUUAUCAGCUUAACAAAAUAUCUUGCUGUACCAUGUGAAACAUUCCUACAUUGCCCAAAAAGUCAAGCGCUGGGUCCGAAUGUGUCACACAGACAGAUUAAACCACUAUCUUUUGACUUUUGAUAUCCUGCUGCAGUUAUUUAGCUAAAAAUUAAAUUCAUGGUUUAAAUAAAUAUUAAUUAUGUUUGUGUUUUCAUAUUAUUAAUACAGUGUUUUGAAUGAUUUACAAAUAAUAUUUUGUACAGGCCUUUUCUAGGUUGUCAUAACGUAAAAAUGCCCGUUUCACAGAACUUAAAUUAUGACAAAAACUCUACAUAAAAAUCUAGUGCAGUAAAUUACCUUUAAAUGUUGGGUUUUUAAAUUGUACAGUGUCUUAUUUGUAUUUUACUUAAAUGUAACAGGAGGACAGGUAAGACUUUAGAAAACAAUCUGUGUCGCUUUUUGAAAGGUCAUAAGAAACCACAGCAUGUAUGAACUAGAUAAAGAUUAGAGACUGAAGCUGUUCUGCUGGAACUGCAGCUGCAGAAAGCAAAAGGUCAUGUUUUUUAACUUUCCGCUCACUGUGUACCCUUAGAGCUGUAGGUGAAGGUGGGCAUGUCUGUUAGAAGUGCUGUAUAUUCAGAGAUAAAUGACCAAAGCCAUUUUUCUCCUGAUCCAGAUGCUGGUGCAUAUGAGAACGUCUUCCCUGCAAAAUAUAUUGACCAUGACUCUGACAGCUACGAUUAUGAAAACGCACAGUAUCUGCAGAACAACGAUGACGGUAAUUAUAACAAAUUUACUCAAAUUUGCCCUUGUUUGAGUUUAUUAUGUAAAACACUGAAUAUAAAUCACUCAUGCUUACACUGACUCUUCUCUUUGGAACAGAUGAACCUGAUUAUGAAAAUACUAAUCCCCUUGUUCAUCAUGAAAACAUGAGUUAAAAUGUUAAUUUAUUUCAGUACCUCGAAGCAAUUAAAGUAUAAUUUUAGCUAAAGCUAGUGAUACCAACUAUAUCUGUAUUUUCUUAUUAGGUGGUUUUAUGGAGUGUUACUGUGAAUUCAUGUUUUUUUUGUGUGAAAUGAUGUAACAAAAUGUAGAUUUUAUUUGUUAUUUUAUCUGUUGUUACAAGCA